UACAUAGGUGGCAAGCGUUAUCCGGAUUUAUUGGGCGUAAAGCGUGCGUAGGCGGCUAAUUAAGUCGGAUGUGAAAUCCCCGAGCUCAACUUGGGAAUUGCAUUCGAUACUGGUUAGCUAGAGUAUGGGGGAGGAUGGUAGAAUUCCAGGUGUAGCGGCGAAAUGCGUAGAGAUCUGGAGGAAUACCGAUGGCGAAGGCAGCCAUCUGGCCUAAUACUGACGCUGAGGUACGAAAGCAUGGGGAGCAAACAGG
This 253-nucleotide ribosomal RNA is filed under the name uncultured Acinetobacter sp. RNAcentral describes it as "partial 16S ribosomal RNA". It matches the Rfam family "Bacterial small subunit ribosomal RNA", at positions 524 to 776 of the family's 1533-position model. Lineage: Bacteria; Pseudomonadati; Pseudomonadota; Gammaproteobacteria; Moraxellales; Moraxellaceae. The record is from RNAcentral.